CAUCGGUCAUUUUCUGCCAAGAUCCACUUCUGUGCAACUAGUACAGACUAAAAUCGCUGUUUUGUGGCAAUUUAACGCUUUAGUAAUUUUUGCGUUCCUUUGUGGAUUAAUAGCUACAAAAUUAGCAAAUUAAAUGAAUUAUAUCUCGUAGGAGUUCUUUUGAAAUUCAUUUGCUGACUUUGGUUAGGAUAAAUGGUUUUGAUCUUAUAGUAGCAUAGAAAAUCUUUCGCUUAAAUAAAUCAAUUUAUAUUGGAGGACUCGAAAGCUAGAACAAUUUUAUUAAUUAUGUUGCUUUCCCAUUGCUGAAUUCUGAAAGUGUAAAAAAAAGUAUAUAAAAGCCACAAAAUUCCACCACUGUGGUUGAAGGAUAGGGUGAAAAGAAAGACCCAAAGCAGCUCUAUUAUUCCUCGUUGGUCUCCAGUUUCCAGAUUGGAUGAAAGUUAGUUUGAUAUAAGUUCCAGAUAUGUCCAGUUGUUUGAUGGUGUCCUCGAUUCCUUGAGUCUGUUGUGGUGUCCCAGGCUCCCAGAUAAGUUUUUUUGUAAAUUUGGUGCAGCCUGAAUGCUGAAAACAAAAGAUUAAUAUAUAUAUUUUUUUGUAAUUUAAAUUAAGGCUCAAUUGAAAACUUACGUAUUUUUACUUACCGUGUCCAAAGUGUAAUCUUUGCAAGUAUUUAUUUUGUUCAAAAGUAGUGCUUAAAAAUAUUACUUAUCGACACAAAAAGUGUGCGAUAACACAGUUUUUUUAUUUUUUAUAUCGGCAGAAGUGUAAACCAAAUUGUGAUCACAAUAAGGUGGGUUUAUCUUCAUUGUAUUUUUUUAUAAGCUUUAUUAAGUAAUACCAUGGUAUAAUAGCUCGUUUUUUAGUAGUGUUGAAAUUUUCAUAACCUUACGGUUCUUGAAAACAUCUUGUCGAACUUGCAUUGUCUUAUUUAUUUAAUGUAACACGACGUUUCGGUUGGUAAGUAUCUCCAACCGUCAUCAAGUGUAAACUUCGGUUCUUCCCCCAAUUAAAGUUAUAUAAUU
Molecule: long non-coding RNA, 1022 nt
Organism: Anthonomus grandis grandis
Lineage: Eukaryota; Metazoa; Arthropoda; Insecta; Coleoptera; Curculionidae
Exons: 3
Source: RefSeq, a predicted model, not a curated record